CAGCUUGGCAGUCUUCUCAGCGUGUAGCCUGGUAACCACGACCUCUCCGCCAGGUCCUGUGUGUUGCUGGCUGGAGAAGGGUAGUUGAAAACUCAGACCAAGCACAGUGUUUAUUUUGGUCAAAACUGGAAGACUGUGUCCGGGCGCGGCCGAGGCUGGAGGAUCCCUUCAGGCCAAGAGCAGCCUAGCAAUAUGGCGCGACCGGAUCUCUGCAGUCCUACCUCAGCCCCCCAGCUACUUGAACCCCAAAGUUCGAGGCUCCAAUGAGCUAUGAUCCCACCACAGCAUUGCAGCCUGCCAGACUGAGACAUGAACUUAUGAAUUCAACACAUGAAGAUUUACAACUUGAUAAACCAGCUUUAGGAGAUUGAGAAAACUUGUAUUCCUGUGAUUUCGAUAGCGAAGGAAGUAUGGUAUACCAGAAUCACUAAAUUAUGAAAGAUGGUGGAUCAGCUUUUUGCAAAAAAAUUUGCUGAAGCCUUGGGGAGCACUGAAGCCAAGGCUGUACCAUACCAAAAAUUUGAAACACAUGUGAAUGAGCUGAAUGUGGAAGGACUACCAGAAAACAUUCCUUUCAGAAGCCCCUCAUUACAUGGAAUCCCAAGGCUCGAAAACAUCUUUCAAGUGGCCAAUCGAAUUAAGUUUGUUAUUAAGAGUAACUCCAGUUAGCCUCCAUUGUCUCCAAGCUGCCUUUCAUCCUCAUCCACAACUCCUCCACACAAGCUCUGAACACCUGUCCAUGCUGGAGUGCAAUGGUGCGAUCUUGGCUAACCACAACAUCUGCCUCCCGGGUUCAAGCAAUUCUCAUCCCUCAGCCUCCAGAGUAGCUGGGAUUACAGGCAUGCACCACCACACCUGGCUAAUUCUGUAAAAAUAGUAGAGACAGAGUUUCUUCAUGUUGGUCAGGCUGGUCUCAAACUCCCCACCUCAGGUGAUGUGCUCACCUCGGCCUCCCAAAGUGCUGGGAUUACAGGCGUGAGCCACUGCACCCAGUGAGUAUCACUCUUUAAUCAUAAAGUCAGAGUAUGUUAAGAUUGGAGGGGAUAUGGGAGACUAUUUGGUUCACUUUUCUCAUUGAUGAGAGAAUAACAGAGCAUUGAAAAGUAAGGUAAUUAUUCACAAUCGUAAAGCUAUAUGGGUCAAUCUGAAAUUAGGCUUCUUACAUCAGAUUCUGUAGCCUUUCCUACAUGUGUUCUCCCCAGACUGAGACAGUUCAUGGGCCUUCAGGUUUGACAGUCUUCUCUCCAGUCUCCAAACAGGAGCUUUUAUCUGGAGAUUCUAGGUUAGCAUAGAUGGACGAUGACCCUGCAAUGUGUAGAAAAUCCCAAAGGUUGACCACUGUCAGUGGGAACCACCCCAGAUGUGUCAGGAGCACCACAGGCAUGCUCACUCCUCCAUUCACUGGAGCUGUGUAGGGUGGAAGGGAAACCCAAAUCAAGACCUGCUGCUGCUUUAGUUCUUUUAUUGCAUGUCACAAUCCAAUGUGUCUCCAUUUAAAUUCAGAUUUUUUGAUAGAUGGUCAGACCAGCUGCAGGCCCUUUGGGCCAGAAGUCUCGAUCUUUUAUUUUUAUUUUAUUAUUAUUAUACUUUAAGUUUUAGGGUACAUGUGCACAAUGUGCAAGUUUGUUACAUAUGUAUACAUGUGUCAUGUUGGCGUGCUGUACCCGUUAACUCGUCAUUUAGCAUUAGGUAUAUCUCCUAAUGCUAUCCCUCCCCCCUUCCCCCACCCCACAACUGUCCCCGGUGUGUUAUGUUCCCCUUCCUGUGUCCAUGUGUUCUCAUUGUUCAGUUCUCAGCUAUGAGUGAGAACAUGAGGUGUUUGGUUUUUUGUCCUUGUGUUAGUUUGCUGAGAAUGAUGGCUUCCAGCUUCAUCCAUGUCCCUACAAAGACAUGAACUCAUCAUUUUUUAUGGCUUCAUAGUAUUCCAUGGUGUGUAUGAGCCACAUUUUCUUAAUCCAGUCUAUCAUUAUUGGAUAUUUGGGUUGGUUCCAAGUCUUUGCUAUUGUGAAUAGUGCCGCAAUAAACAUACAUGUGCAUGUGUCUUUAUAGCUGCAUGAUUUAUAAUCCUUUGGAUAUAUACCCAGUAAUGGGAUGGCUGAGUCAAAUGGUAUUUCUAGUUCUAUGUCCCUGAGGAAUCUCCACACUGGCUUCCACAAUGGUUGAACUAGUUUACAGUCCCACCAAUGGUGUAAAAGUGUUCCUGUUUCUCCACAUCCUCUCCAGCACCUGUUGUUUCCUGACUUUAUAAUGAUCGCCAUUCUAACUGGUGUAAGAUGGUAUCUCAUUGUGGUAUUGAUUUGCAUUUCUCUGAUGGCCAGUGAUGAGCAUUUUUUCAUGUGCCUUUUGGCUGCAUAAAUGUCUUCUUUUGAGAAGUGUCUGUUCAUAUCCUUCACCCACUUUUUGAUGGGGUUGUUUUUUUCUUGUAAAUUUGUUUGAGUUCAUUUCCUGUUCACUCUGAUGGUAGUUUCUUUUGCUGUGAAGAAGCUCUUUAGUUUAAUUAGAUCCCAUUUGUCAAUUUUGGCUUUUGUUGCCAUUGCUUUUGGUGUUUUAGACAUGAAGU
RNA transcript from Symphalangus syndactylus (siamang), 2560 nucleotides. It is a transcript of the gene named general transcription factor II-I-like, with no coding region annotated. Lineage: Eukaryota; Metazoa; Chordata; Mammalia; Primates; Hylobatidae. The record is from RefSeq and is a predicted model, not a curated record.